AGCGAACGCUGGCGGCAGGCUUAACACAUGCAAGUCGAACGGGCAUCUUCGGAUGUCAGUGGCAGACGGGUGAGUAACACGUGGGAACGUACCCCUCGGUUCGGAAUAACUCAGGGAAACUUGAGCUAAUACCGGAUACGCCCUUUUGGGGAAAGGUUUACUGCCGAAGGAUCGGCCCGCGUCUGAUUAGCUUGUUGGUGGGGUAACGGCCUACCAAGGCGACGAUCAGUAGCUGGUCUGAGAGGAUGAUCAGCCACACUGGGACUGAGACACGGCCCAGACUCCUACGGGAGGCAGCAGUGGGGAAUAUUGGACAAUGGGCGCAAGCCUGAUCCAGCCAUGCCGCGUGAGUGAUGAAGGCCUUAGGGUUGUAAAGCUCUUUUGUCCGGGACGAUAAUGACGGUACCGGAAGAAUAAGCCCCGGCUAACUUCGUG
This 435-nucleotide ribosomal RNA is filed under the name uncultured bacterium. Its description in RNAcentral is "partial 16S ribosomal RNA". It matches the Rfam family "Bacterial small subunit ribosomal RNA", at positions 29 to 507 of the family's 1533-position model. The record is from RNAcentral.